GACGAACGCUGGCGGCGUGCUUAACACAUGCAAGUCGAACGAAGAGCGAUGGAAGCUUGCUUCUAUCAAUCUUAGUGGCGAACGGGUGAGUAACGCGUAAUCAACCUGCCCUUCAGAGGGGGACAACAGUUGGAAACGACUGCUAAUACCGCAUACGAUCUAAUCUCGGCAUCGAGGAAAGAUGAAAGGUGGCCUCUAUUUAUAAGCUAUCACUGAAGGAGGGGAUUGCGUCUGAUUAGCUAGUUGGAGGGGUAACGGCCCACCAAGGCGAUGAUCAGUAGCCGGUCUGAGAGGAUGAACGGCCACAUUGGGACUGAGACACGGCCCAGACUCCUACGGGGGGCAGCAGUGGGGAAUCUUCCGCAAUGGACGAAAGUCUGACGGAGCAACGCCGCGUGAGUGAUGACGGCCUUCGGGUUGUAAAGCUCUGUUAAUCGGGACGAAAGGCCUUCUUGCGAACAGUUAGAAGGAUUGACGGUACCGGAAUAGAAAGCCACGGCUAACUACGUG
Molecule: ribosomal RNA, 510 nt
Filed under: uncultured bacterium
Lineage: Bacteria
Description: partial 16S ribosomal RNA
Rfam family: Bacterial small subunit ribosomal RNA
Source: RNAcentral